AUUGAACGCUGGCGGCAGGCCUAACACAUGCAAGUCGAGCGGAUGAAGGGAGCUUGCUCCUGGAUUCAGCGGCGGACGGGUGAGUAAUGCCUAGGAAUCUGCCUGGUAGUGGGGGAUAACGUCCGGAAACGGGCGCUAAUACCGCAUACGUCCUGAGGGAGAAAGUGGGGGAUCUUCGGACCUCACGCUAUCAGAUGAGCCUAGGUCGGAUUAGCUAGUUGGUGGGGUAAAGGCCUACCAAGGCGACGAUCCGUAACUGGUCUGAGAGGAUGAUCAGUCACAUGGAAAAUGGACAGCGGUCCAGACCCUACCGGGAGGCGGCGGGGGGAAUUUUGGAACAUGGGCGGAAGUCCGGACCAAGCCUGGCGGGUGGUGUAAAGAAGGUUUUGGGUUUGAAAACCCUUUUAAGUGGGGAGAAAGGGAAAUAAUUUAAUCCCUUGUUUUUUUGACUUUACAAAAAAAAAAAACCCCGCCUACCUUCGUC
This 484-nucleotide ribosomal RNA is filed under the name uncultured bacterium. RNAcentral describes it as "partial 16S ribosomal RNA". It matches the Rfam family "Bacterial small subunit ribosomal RNA", at positions 30 to 507 of the family's 1533-position model. The record is from RNAcentral.